GGCGUGCGCGACUAGGCGUGUGUGUGUGUCCACGCGUUCGAGCGCAUGGGCCGUUGAGUGUAGGCGAGAUACUAGGAGGGGUGACCGCGUCAGGCGCUGAACUCGGGAUCACGGCGACUGCGUUCGUGCGCGUCGGGCGCGUGAUCCAGGGAGCGCGGGACGUGGGAGGAGUGCGUGGGAGCGUGGCUCGGUGCGUGUGUGCGUGCGGGUAUAAGAGCCAGCCCCUGCUCCCGUUGUAGCUCGCCGGGAUCGAGUUCGUGCUCGAGGAGAAAGAAAAGGCCGUUGGUGCGGCCGGGGGCGCCCGUGCGCCGGCAAAAACCACCUGUGCUUGCUGUCUCCUUCUUCUUCCUCCUUCUUCUCUGUAGGUUCGGGCCACAGCGAGAGAGAGGGAACAGAGAGAGCGAGGAGAGCUAGAGCUAGCUAGGGUUCAGAGGGGUUUUGCGCCAUCAAUUGGCAUCAGAGCUUCAGGUUCGGGAGGUCACCGGCGGCAAUGGCGCUGGUUCCACGCGGCGGCGGCACGGGUGGGUCGGUGUCCAUGGGGAUGCCGAUGCUCUCGUCGGACGGCUACACUGUGUGGGCAAUCAAGGCGCAGGCCAUUCUUGAUGCCCACACACUGUGGGAAGAGGUGGCGCCGGGCGACUCGCCGGUGAACAACAAGAAGUGCAAGACGGCGAGGGCACUGAUCUUGCAGGGGCUGCCGGAGGACGUGUUGCUCUCGGUGGCGACGAAGACCACUGCCAGGGAGGUAUGGGACUCCUUGUCGGUGCGAUUCGUCGGCGCCGAGCGGGUGCGCGCGGCGAGAAGGGCGACACUGCACAGCGAGCUGGACCGGACGAGGAUGGAGGACGGCGAGGCGCUGGACGCGUACGCUGGGAGGCUCGCGGGCAUGGUGGCACGAUUCGCAGGGCUGGGGGAGACAUUGGCGGACACGGAGCUGGUGAAGAAGCUCCUGGACACGGUCCCGGACCGUCUCUUUCCCGUCGUCGCCGGCAUCGAACAGUUCUGUGUCCUGAAGGAGCUCACAUACGACGAGGUGCUCGGACGGCUGCGCGCGUUCGACGAGCAUGUGCGGCGCCGUGGGCAGAGCAGCGGCGAGCGGGAGGACGGCAAGCUCCUGUACACUGCGGCCCAGUGGCGGGCACGGGAGUGACGUCAAGGGGGAGCUCGGGACGAGGACGACGACGCGCGCAGCGUGGCGACGCGGGACAGCGGCAACAGACGUGGCCGCUGCUACAAGUGCGGUGAGCGCGGCCACUUCAAGCGCGACUGCCCGGAGCUGCGAAAGGCACCGGCGGCGGAGCGGGCACUGCUGGCGGACGCCGACGUCGAGGACAACGGCCUCCUCUAGGCCAGGGCUUAGGGGGAGAGUGUUGGGCAAUAAAGCCGUGGCGAGUCCGGGACGCGGUGCGCGCCUGCGUGCGCGCGGUGAACGCGUCGGGCUCGGCCCGUGGCAGCCUGGGUCGCGUGCGUGCGCGACUAGGCGUGUGUGUGUGUCCACGCGUUCGAGCGCAUGGGCCGUUGAGUGUAGGCGAGAUACUAGGAGGGGUGACCGCGUCAGCCGCUGAACUCGAGAUCACGGCGACUGCGUUCGUGCGCGUCGGGCGCGUGAUCCAGGGAGCGCGGGACGUGGGAGAAGUGCGUGGGAGCGUGGCUCGGCGCGUGUGUGCGUGCGGGUAUAAGAGCCAGCCCCUGCUCCCGUUGUAGCUCGCCGGGAUCGAGUUCGUGCUCGAGGAGAAAGAAAAGGCCAUACGUGCGGCCGGGGGCGUCCGUGCGCCGGCAAAAACCACCUGUGCUUGCUGUCUCCUUCUUCUUCCUCCUUCUCUGUAGGUUCGGGCCACAGCGAGAGAGAGGGAACAGAGAGAGCGAGGAGAGCUAGAGCUAGCUAGGGUUCAGAGGGGUUUUGCGCCAUCACAGG
This 1915-nucleotide long non-coding RNA is filed under the name Triticum aestivum (bread wheat). Its description in RNAcentral is "long non-coding RNA (TAES_LNC022961)". The record is from RNAcentral. Lineage: Eukaryota; Viridiplantae; Streptophyta; Magnoliopsida; Poales; Poaceae.